CCGGCGCACGGGUGAGUAACACGUAUCCAACCUGCCGUCUACUCUUGGACAGCCUUCUGAAAGGAAGGUUAAUACAAGAUGGCAUCAUGAGUUCACAUGUUCACAUGAUUAAAGGUAUUCCGGUAGACGAUGGGGAUGCGUUCCAUUAGAUAGUAGGCGGGGUAACGGCCCACCUAGUCUUCGAUGGAUAGGGGUUCUGAGAGGAAGGUCCCCCACAUUGGAACUGAGACACGGUCCAA
This 239-nucleotide ribosomal RNA is filed under the name uncultured bacterium. RNAcentral describes it as "partial 16S ribosomal RNA". It matches the Rfam family "Bacterial small subunit ribosomal RNA", at positions 95 to 334 of the family's 1533-position model. The record is from RNAcentral.